This 73-nucleotide transfer RNA is filed under the name Stegodyphus mimosarum. It matches the Rfam family "tRNA". Rfam says of the family: Transfer RNA (tRNA) molecules are approximately 80 nucleotides in length. Their secondary structure includes four short double-helical elements and three loops (D, anti-codon, and T loops). Further hydrogen bonds mediate the characteristic L-shaped molecular structure. tRNAs have two regions of fundamental functional importance: the anti-codon, which is responsible for specific mRNA codon recognition, and the 3' end, to which the tRNAs corresponding amino acid is attached (by aminoacyl-tRNA synthetases). tRNAs cope with the degeneracy of the genetic code in two manners: having more than one tRNA (with a specific anti-codon) for a particular amino acid; and 'wobble' base-pairing, i.e. permitting non-standard base-pairing at the 3rd anti-codon position. The record is from Rfam by way of RNAcentral. Lineage: Eukaryota; Metazoa; Arthropoda; Arachnida; Araneae; Eresidae.
GCCUUCGUGGUGUAGUGGUCAGCAUGCUUGACGCGGAACUGAGAGAUCCGUGGUUCGAUUCCCGGCAAAGGCG